Molecule: ribosomal RNA, 426 nt
Filed under: uncultured bacterium
Lineage: Bacteria
Description: bacterial SSU rRNA
Rfam family: Bacterial small subunit ribosomal RNA
Source: RNAcentral
UGGGGGAAUAUUGGGCAAUGGGGGGAAACCCUGACCCAGCAACGCCGCGUGAGGGAAGAAGGUUUUCGGAUUGUAAACCUCUGUCCUAAGAGAAGAGGGGAAGACGGUAUCUUAGGAGGAAGCCCCGGCUAACUACGUGCCAACAGCCGCGGUAAUACGUAGGGGGCGAGCGUUGUCCGGAAUGACUGGGCGUAAAGGGCGUGUAGGCGGCCGAUUAAGUGUGGAGUGAAAGUCCUGCUUUCAAGGUGGGAAUUGCUUUGCAGACUGGUUGGCUUGAGUGCGGAAGAGGUAAGUGGAAUUCCCAGUGUAGCGGUGAAAUGCGUAGAGAUUGGGAGGAACACCAGUGGCGAAGGCGACUUACUGGGCCGUAACUGACGCUGAGGCGCGAAAGCGUGGGGAGCGAACAGGAUUAGAUACCCUGGUAGU